RNAcentral lists this ribosomal RNA (253 nucleotides) under uncultured bacterium. Its description in RNAcentral is "partial 16S ribosomal RNA". It matches the Rfam family "Bacterial small subunit ribosomal RNA", at positions 524 to 776 of the family's 1533-position model. The record is from RNAcentral.
UACAGAGGGUGCGAGCGUUAAUCGGAAUUACUGGGCGUAAAGCGCACGUAGUCGGCUUUGCAAGCCGGUUGUGAAAUCCCCGGGCUCAACCUGGGAACUGCAUCCGGGACUGCAUUGCUAGAGUAUGGGAGAGGGAAGCGGAAUUUCUGGUGUAGCAGUGAAGUGCGUAGAUAUCGGGAGGAACACCAGUGGCGAAGGCGGCCUUCUGGACCAGUACUGACGCUCAUGCACGAAAGCGUGGGGAGCAAACAGG